RNAcentral lists this transfer RNA (73 nucleotides) under Ovis aries (sheep). It matches the Rfam family "tRNA". Rfam says of the family: Transfer RNA (tRNA) molecules are approximately 80 nucleotides in length. Their secondary structure includes four short double-helical elements and three loops (D, anti-codon, and T loops). Further hydrogen bonds mediate the characteristic L-shaped molecular structure. tRNAs have two regions of fundamental functional importance: the anti-codon, which is responsible for specific mRNA codon recognition, and the 3' end, to which the tRNAs corresponding amino acid is attached (by aminoacyl-tRNA synthetases). tRNAs cope with the degeneracy of the genetic code in two manners: having more than one tRNA (with a specific anti-codon) for a particular amino acid; and 'wobble' base-pairing, i.e. permitting non-standard base-pairing at the 3rd anti-codon position. Lineage: Eukaryota; Metazoa; Chordata; Mammalia; Artiodactyla; Bovidae. The record is from Rfam by way of RNAcentral. RNAcentral also lists the same sequence under 3 other names.
UGCCUAAUGGUUUAGUUAUUAAGAUUCUGCCCUUCCAGUGCAGAGGCUGUGGGUUCAAUCCCUAUUUGGGGAA